UACGGAAGGCAGCAGUGGGGAAUAUUGCACAAUGGGCGAAAGCCUGAUGCAGCUAUGCCGCGUGUAUGAAGAAGGCCUUAGGGUUGUAAAGUACUUUCAUCGGGGAGGAAAAAACAAAACUAAUAAUUUUAUUUCUUGACGUUACCCGAAAAAGAAGCACCGGCUAACUCCGUGCCAGCAGCCGCGGUAAUACGGAGGGUGCUAGCGUUAAUCAGAAUUACUGGGCGUAAAGAGCACGUAGGUGGUUUUUUUAAGUCAGAUGUGAAAUCCCUGGGCUUAACCUAGGAACUGCAUUUUGAAACUGAAAUACUAGAGUAUCGUAGAGGGAGGUAGAAUUCUAGGUGUAGCGGUGAAAUGCGUAGAUAUCUGGAGGAAUACCUGUGGCGAAAGCGGCCUCCUAAACGAAUACUGACACUGAGGUGCGAAAGCGUGGGGAGCAAACAGGGACUUAGAUACCCGU
This 460-nucleotide ribosomal RNA is filed under the name uncultured bacterium. RNAcentral describes it as "bacterial SSU rRNA". It matches the Rfam family "Bacterial small subunit ribosomal RNA", at positions 340 to 789 of the family's 1533-position model. The record is from RNAcentral.